RNAcentral lists this ribosomal RNA (253 nucleotides) under uncultured bacterium. RNAcentral's name for it is "partial 16S ribosomal RNA". It matches the Rfam family "Bacterial small subunit ribosomal RNA", at positions 524 to 776 of the family's 1533-position model. The record is from RNAcentral.
UACGUAGGGUCCAAGCGUUGUCCGGAGUUACUGGGCGUCAAGCGCGCGCAGGCGGCGGUGCUGGCCCGGCGUGAAAGCCCCCGGCUCAACCGGGGAGGGUCGUCGGGGACCGCACCGCUUGAGGGCGGUAGGGGCUGGUGGAAUGCCUGGUGUAGUGGUGAAAUGCGUAGAGAUCAGGCGGAACACCCGUGGCGAAGGCGGCCAGCUGGGCCGUCCCUGACGCUGAGGCGCGAAGGCGUGGGGAGCGAACGGG